Molecule: transfer RNA, 72 nt
Filed under: Neopomacentrus azysron (yellow-tail demoiselle)
Lineage: Eukaryota; Metazoa; Chordata; Actinopteri; Pomacentridae
Description: tRNA-Val
Rfam family: tRNA
About the family: Transfer RNA (tRNA) molecules are approximately 80 nucleotides in length.
Source: RNAcentral
CAGAGUGUAGCUUAAAAGAAAAGCAUCUCCCUUACACCGAGAAGUCGCUUGUGCAAAUCAAGCCACCCUGAC